RNAcentral lists this microRNA precursor (87 nucleotides) under Chlorocebus sabaeus (green monkey). Its description in RNAcentral is "miRNA (ENSCSAG00000026246.1)". Lineage: Eukaryota; Metazoa; Chordata; Mammalia; Primates; Cercopithecidae. The record is from RNAcentral.
AAAAAAAAUAUAUAUAUAUGUGUGUGUGUGUGUGUGUGUAAUAUAUGUAUACACACACAUAUAUACACACAUAUAUGCAAAUAUAUA